This 611-nucleotide ribosomal RNA is filed under the name uncultured bacterium. Its description in RNAcentral is "bacterial SSU rRNA". It matches the Rfam family "Bacterial small subunit ribosomal RNA", at positions 338 to 1533 of the family's 1533-position model. The record is from RNAcentral.
CCUACGGGAGGCAGCAGUGGGGAAUAUUGGACAAUGGGGGCAACCCUGAUCCAGCCAUGCCGCGUGAGUGAUGACGGCCUUAGGGUUGUAAAGCUCUUUUCUCCGGGACGAUGAUGACGGUACCGGAGGAAUAAGCCCCGGCUAACUUCGUGCCAGCAGCCGCGGUAAUACGAAGGGGGCUAGCGUUGCUCGGAAUCACUGGGCGUAAAGGGCGCGUAGGCGGCUAAUUUAGUCGAGGGUGAAAGCCUGUGGCUCAACCACAGAAUUGCCUUCGAUACUGGUUGGCUUGAGACCGGAAGAGGACAGCGGAACUGCGAGUGUAGAGGUGAAAUUCGUAGAUAUUCGCAAGAACACCAGUGGCGAAAGGCGGCUGUCUGGUCCGGUUCUGACGCUGAGGCGCGAAAGCGUGGGGAGCAAACAGGAUUAGAUACCCUGGUAGUCCACGCUGUAAACGAUGAAUGCUAGCCGUUGGGGUGCAUGCACCUCAGUGGCGCCGCUAACGCAUUAAGCAUUCCGCCUGGGGAGUACGGUCGCAAGAUUAAAAACUCAAAAGUAGAAGUUGACGGUCGUAGAAGACGUGACCGAAGGACCGACCACGGAAGGGGAAGAGG